Molecule: long non-coding RNA, 1369 nt
Filed under: Chrysemys picta bellii (western painted turtle)
Lineage: Eukaryota; Metazoa; Chordata; Testudines; Emydidae
Description: lncRNA (ENSCPBG00000015338.1)
Source: RNAcentral
CACAGAUUUCCACCCUCUCCAGUGGGGCACAGCCAAGCUGCCCAGUGCUCGGUGGAUAAGGAACUGGGCAGGAAAUGGUGUGAGACGCGCGUGGGAGGAAAGGGGCAGGAGGCACAGUGGGGGCUCGGGGAAGAGAGGUCCCACAGCCUGUCCCUACACAGCACAUCCCUGUUUCCCUGCCUCCAUCCCUUACCAAGCCACCACCAGGCGCGCGGGGCACAAACACUGCGCACGCGCCUCCCCGAUUCUGCUCACAGCCGAGCCGCUUUGCGUUGCCACUGCCGAGACGCGCAUGCGCAUUCCGGCCGAAACGCUCACCUCUAUCAUUUUGAUUCCCAACCACCCUCCUUUUCUCUGUCUCGCUCAGAUUCCUCCAAGCCGCGCGGCACAGGGGGCAAUGGAAGAGAGGGAUUUUUAAAAGCCUUAAAGCCGGACUUGACCUUUCAACUGCCGGAAGGUCAAAGGUUACCAACAAAAUGGCGGCCACAGCUGCUGCUGGGUUUACUGGCAGUGUGGAGCCGGUGGACGCCGGACGGGCCCAGGCAGCGCCUCGCCCGCCCUGCUAAGCCCUGGGACGGAGUUACAUUGAGGGUCCCGAGCUGCUGUGUGCGCGGGUUAGCGCCCAGCCGCCCCUACUGCCCCCGAGACACGCUGCCGGAAGGCAGCGGCCGCCAGCCCAGCCCGUGCUCCGGGAGCGGCGGCAGCCAGGAACCGGAGCAGCUUCCACGCGCGUAGGAGCCACAACCUCAGCGCUACCAAGUCAGGAGCAGCUCCUGCUCGCCCAGGGCUGCAGCCGAGCCGUGCCCCCACGGCACCCCACCCGGCAGGAGCCGCAGAGCAGCCCCCGACCUGCCCCAUCCCUUCCUGGCAGCAGCCGACGCCCCUACCCCCAAGAGCGGCAGCCUCGCUCCCGCCUAAAAAUAGCAAACGCCUUAGCAGCCCCCUCCCACCUACCUAUUAGCAGCAGCCCCUGCUGACCCAGCAGGAGCAUGAACCCCUCACCCCAGUCAUCACUAUCAGUAGUUCCCAGACCUCCCCCAGCAGAGUCCAUCACCUGUUGAGCAGCAGGCCCGCAACACCUAUUUCCCCUCCGCAUUUUGCAACUCCGAUUGUGUGAAGGAGGCAGGAGAUUUGUCCCCUCCUUGUACCUUCUGUGGAAGGGAAUUGUGUGUCACGCACAUACAUAUAUACAAGAAGACUGUAUAUUGUUGACUUUAUAACUGUGCAGCUUCUCUGGCUGAAUCUUGGGUGUCUUAGAUCUACUGAUGAGAGAACAGUAAUGAAAGGGAACUUGACAAGGGGAAAAAUCAAACCACCCAUCCAAAGACCGCUAAUGAGGACGAUGUUGAUGCAUAUUUGACUCUCAACA